AGAGUUUGAUCAUGGCUCAGGACGAACGCUGGCGGCGUGCUUAACACAUGCAAGUCGAACGGAAAGUGCCCAGCUUGCUGGGUGACUCGAGUGGCGAACGGGUGAGUAACACGUGGGUGAUCUGCCCUGCACUUUGGGAUAAGCCUGGGAAACUGGGUCUAAUACCGAAUACACCCUGCUGGUCGCAUGGCCUGGUGGGGGAAAGCUUUUGCGGUGUGGGAUGGGCCCGCGGCCUAUCAGCUUGUUGGUGGGGUGAUGGCCUACCAAGGCGACGACGGGUAGCCGGCCUGAGAGGGUGUCCGGCCACACUGGGACUGAGAUACGGCCCAGACUCCUACGGGAGGCAGCAGUGGGGAAUAUUGCACAAUGGGCGCAAGCCUGAUGCAGCGACGCCGCGUGAGGGAUGACGGCCUUCGGGUUGUAAACCUCUUUCAAUAGGGACGAAGCGUAAGUGACGGUACCUAUAGAAGAAGCACCGGCCAACUACGUGCCAGCAGCCGCGGUAAUACGUAGGGUGCGAGCGUUGUCCGGAAUUACUGGGCGUAAAGAGCUCGUAGGUGGUUUGUCGCGUUGUUCGUGAAAACUCACAACUCAAUUGUGGGCGUGCGGGCGAUACGGGCAGACUGGAGUACUGCAGGGGAGACUGGAAUUCCUGGUGUAGCGGUGGAAUGCGCAGAUAUCAGGAGGAACACCGGUGGCGAAGGCGGGUCUCUGGGCAGUAACUGACGCUGAGGAGCGAAAGCGUGGGGAGCGAACAGGAUUAGAUACCCUCGUAGUCC
This 779-nucleotide ribosomal RNA is filed under the name uncultured bacterium. RNAcentral describes it as "bacterial SSU rRNA". It matches the Rfam family "Bacterial small subunit ribosomal RNA", at positions 8 to 796 of the family's 1533-position model. The record is from RNAcentral.